Molecule: long non-coding RNA, 310 nt
Filed under: Brachypodium distachyon (stiff brome)
Lineage: Eukaryota; Viridiplantae; Streptophyta; Magnoliopsida; Poales; Poaceae
Description: long non-coding RNA (BDIS_LNC002758)
Source: RNAcentral
CCGCGCGGCCUCGACCGGCUCCCGGCGCUCCAAUCCCUCUCCCUCGCAGGCAACAACUUCUCCGGCAAUCUCUCCCCCGGCCUCUCCCUCCUUGCCUCCCUCCGCUCCCUCGACCUCUCACACAACGCCUUCUCCGGCAAUCUCCCCGAGGACUUCCCCUUUCUCCCCGCGCUCCGGUACCUCGACCUCACAGCAAACUCCUUCUCCGGCUCUCUCCCGACAUCCUUCCCUUCCACGCUCCGCUUCCUCAUGCUCUCCGGGAACGCCUUCUCCGGCCCGGUUCCUCUCGGGUUAUCCAACAGCGCUCUGC